CUACGGAACUCCUACGGGAGGCAGCAGUGGGGAAUUUUGGACAAUGGGGGCAACCCUGAUCCAGCAAUGCCGCGUGAGUGAAGAAGGCCUUCGGGUUGUAAAGCUCUUUUGUCAGGGAAGAAACGGCGGAGGCUAAUAUCCUCUGCUAAUGACGGUACCUGAAGGAUAAGCACCGGCUAACUACGUGCCAGCAGCCGCGGUAAUACGUAGGGUGCAAGCGUUAAUCGGAAUUACUGGGCGUAAAGCGUGCGCAGGCGGUUGUGCAAGACAGAUGUGAAAUCCCCGGGCUCAACCUGGGAAUUGCAUUUGUGACUGCACGGCUAGAGUGUGUCAGAGGGGGGUAGAAUUCCACGUGUAGCAGUGAAAUGCGUAGAGAUGUGGAGGAAUACCGAUGGCGAAGGCAGCCCCCUGGGAUAACACCGACGCUCAUGCACGAAAGCGUGGGGAGCAAACAGGAUUAGAAACCCGUGUAGUCCUCUUCGA
RNAcentral lists this ribosomal RNA (483 nucleotides) under uncultured bacterium. RNAcentral's name for it is "bacterial SSU rRNA". It matches the Rfam family "Bacterial small subunit ribosomal RNA", at positions 328 to 803 of the family's 1533-position model. The record is from RNAcentral.